GGGUUCGGACGGGAUUUGAACACGGGACCUCUCGCACACAAAGCGAGAAUCAUACCCCUAGACCACCGAACC
RNAcentral lists this transfer RNA (72 nucleotides) under Araneus ventricosus. RNAcentral's name for it is "tRNA-Thr". Lineage: Eukaryota; Metazoa; Arthropoda; Arachnida; Araneae; Araneidae. The record is from RNAcentral.